UCUUUCUUGGCACGUAAUCUCUCUUCAGACCACAUCGUUUUAGCCAUUUUGGGGCUAAAAUUCAAUUACACUUCAUCACCUAUGAUCAAAUCACUCAAAUAAAAAAAUUCUUCUUCUUUUUCAUUCUCUCGCGUGCACCAUAUUUUAGAAGAUCAAUGUUGCUGCUACUUUAGGUUGCCAGCAAAGUUCGUCGCACGCGUUUUCGUUUGCUAGGACGAGGAAGAACAACUUGCGCACCACCGUUUCUCCCAGAAAAAUUAUUAGGAAUGGCUGAGUGCUUUAUCAACACUGUGUGGUCAAGCAUACGGUGCAAAAGAAUAUGGCAUGAUGGGAUUGUACCUUCAAAGAUCAUAGAUUAUUUUAUUCCUAACUUCACUGAUUCUUCUUCUGGUGUUCAUCUUCACCACCCCAAUUUUAAGCUUCUUGGGCCAAGAGGAAACCAUAGCACAAGUGGCAGAAACCAUUUCAUUUUAGUCAAUUCCUAUCAUGUUUGCCUUUAUCGUAUCCUUCACUACCCACGGCCAUCUCACUCCCUCUGUUUAUAUGUCUCAACAUCAAUGGAUGAAAAAUGAUGAUAUCACUUGGGUUCAUGGCUGCUGCUAGGUACUAAUAUUAUAUGAGACCUGUUGCAACUUUUGGAACUUUGACUGGUACUCUCCACCAUCUUCUUCAACACCCAAACAACGAUUUCAAUUUAAGAUUUUAUCACUUGUUAGGAUUUUAUAUUCAUUAAAAGUGGCUAAAUUAAGCCUAAACUAAUUUUUUCCAUGUCAGCACAGUCUUAUCAGGCCACAUAAUGGUUCACGUGUCACUUAACGUUUCAAGUAAGCAUUCCAUUAAUGGAGAUUAACAGAAAGGCUAACGUGUGUCACUUAUUAAAACUUAGGGGUUCAAAUUGAGUCAAUUGAAAUUUCAGGAACUAAUUUGAAACUACCAGCAAAUUUCAAAUUUGAGUAUUAACUCUAAAUACACAAAAUAAGAUAUAGACAUAAAAUAUAUAAUUUUUUUAUUAAAUUUAGUGAUAAUACACAAGACACAUUAAUCUAAACUAAAUAUUAUAUUACCCUUAUAUUAUAUUCACCAAAAUACCAUUAUCAGCAUUGCUUUUUAUCAUGACUAUCAUUAAUUUUCAACCUUAAUCCAAAUAACCAUAAACUAUCAUCAAAAUCUCUAAUCCAAUAAUGAAAUCAAUAAUUUUUUAUAUAUAAAAAAAUUGAAACAAAGAUUCAAACAGGAAAAAAAAGAAACUUGAACCAAAUAUACCUAGUUAGAAAGAAUAAUGGAAAACAAAAAAAAAAUACAGGAAGCAUGUGUAAUCUAAAAAAAAGAUAUGGAGGCGGCGAAGACAGAUUUAUAUACAGAGAGAGGCAAAGGAGGCAUAAGCACCAGCGCGAGCCAAGGAGAAAGAGAGACGGGUAAAGGAAGAUCUGGAGGCGAGACGAGGCAAUGGAGGUGAUAAACCCCGUUUUCAGGGUUUAUCUUGUGUUAGAUUUAGAGCAUUUUGCUAACCUUUUCUCACAUUUAGCCAAUGAUUUAGCAUAAUUUUGCGAUCUCUCCCUUAUUUGUGCUUAAGUGUAAAAAGAAUGCUUUUCGGCCUUUGAUUAGAUAACUUUACUUUCUACUUGAUUCCAUAAGAUGCCUUGAUGUGUUUGUUAGUAAUCUCAGGUUAAAAAAGGCUAGGAAUGGAUCAAGGGAGCAAG
Arachis ipaensis is the source of this 1700-nucleotide non-coding RNA. Lineage: Eukaryota; Viridiplantae; Streptophyta; Magnoliopsida; Fabales; Fabaceae. The record is from RefSeq and is a predicted model, not a curated record.